CGGCAUACGCCUGUUGGGGGGAAAUAAGGUGAAUAUGGCUAUCAAUACCCGCAGCGGUGAGGAUCAGAUGUUCGCCUGAAAUCGCAUCAGUACUCAGGCCAACAAUCAUAUUCGAGGUUACACCGUCCAUUGUGUCUGGAUUACCGCUCUUACCAAUGCCUACGAUGAGGCCAUUCUUGAUGCCCACAUCGGCCUUAAUCACACCCAAUUUGGCAUCUAAAAUAGUGACGUUGGUGAUCACCAGAUCAAGCACACCGUUAUCACGUGUUAGCGUAUUAUUGGCCCCCAUACCGUCG
RNAcentral lists this small RNA (296 nucleotides) under Enterobacterales bacterium 8AC. Its description in RNAcentral is "5_ureB_sRNA". It matches the Rfam family "5' ureB small RNA". Lineage: Bacteria; Pseudomonadati; Pseudomonadota; Gammaproteobacteria; Enterobacterales. The record is from RNAcentral.